GCAGCUUUAGCUUAAAAAAAAUUCCAUGAAUAUAAAAGAUAAAGAAACAGAGACAGACACAUUAGCUCAUUUCAAUGGCCACCAAGAAUAACUCAUCUUCUUCAACAAGACGUGCGUGCCUCUGCUCACCCACCACCCAUCCAGGCUCAUUCAAGUGCAGCCUGCACAGGAAUCCAAGAGGAAUUUAUGCAAAAUCAACGGCUCAUAUGAACCGGAUGGAGUUGUCAUCAUCAUCAUCAAGAACAGCAACCGGAGAAUCGUCAAAAUCAAAGAAAAUAGUAAUGAUGCCCUCAAAAGCUAACCUUAUAAAGGCGUUUCUCAUGCAAAUAAUCAAGCCAUCAAGCCAUGAUAUUCAAAGAAGAAGGAACUUCAAGCCCAAGCUUACCAGGUUCUGUCCUUUUAACGGUAAUGGCCACAAUGGGGUGACUGUUUCUUGAGUCUUGACCCUCUUUCCCUCCCUUCCUGUCAAAUAGAUUUUUUCUUUUUUUCUUAUUGUUGAUUUGACCUCCACUGAAACUCGAAUUUUUGGUGUAUAUAAAAGAUGUUAUCCAUGCAAGGUUGCGUAGGAAAUGAAGGAAUUUUAUGGAUUCAUGGGGUUUUUAAUUGGUUUUCUGGAUGAACAUGGCUAGAAGAGGGGGGAGUAUUUUCAUUUUAAUUGAGGAAAUUACAUUUUUU
RNAcentral lists this unclassified non-coding RNA (675 nucleotides) under Hevea brasiliensis (rubber tree). Lineage: Eukaryota; Viridiplantae; Streptophyta; Magnoliopsida; Malpighiales; Euphorbiaceae. The record is from RNAcentral.